Molecule: regulatory RNA element, 84 nt
Organism: Deinococcus puniceus
Lineage: Bacteria; Thermotogati; Deinococcota; Deinococci; Deinococcales; Deinococcaceae
Rfam family: Cyclic di-GMP-II riboswitch aptamer
Source: Rfam
UGGCUGUUCCGGAGCGAUGAAUCACCUGGCCUAUACGGGCGCCUGUCAGGUGUGGAGCGAGUGGCGCGACCGACAGAACUGUGG